GGGCGGAAUGGCGGUUGCGGUCCUGAAAAUCCUGGUGUCGGGGGUUCGAUUCCCCCUCCGCCCA
RNAcentral lists this transfer RNA (64 nucleotides) under Rhodospirillales bacterium. RNAcentral describes it as "tRNA-Ser". The record is from RNAcentral. Lineage: Bacteria; Pseudomonadati; Pseudomonadota; Alphaproteobacteria; Rhodospirillales.